RNAcentral lists this ribosomal RNA (429 nucleotides) under Chloroflexota bacterium. RNAcentral describes it as "Chloroflexi bacterium partial 16S ribosomal RNA". It matches the Rfam family "Bacterial small subunit ribosomal RNA", at positions 355 to 776 of the family's 1533-position model. The record is from RNAcentral. Lineage: Bacteria; Bacillati; Chloroflexota.
UGGGGAAUAUUGCACAAUGGGCGCAAGCCUGAUGCAGCCAUGCCGCGUGUAUGAAGAAGGCCUUCGGGUUGUAAAGUACUUUCAGCGGGGAGAAAGGGAGUAAAGUUAAUACCUUUGCUCAUUGACGUUACCCGCAGAAGAAGCACCGGCUAACUCCGUGCCAGCAGCCGCGGUAAUACGGAGGGUGCAAGCGUUAAUCGGAAUUACUGGGCGUAAAGCGCACGCAGGCGGUUUGUUAAGUCAGAUGUGAAAUCCCCGGGCUCAACCUGGGAACUGCAUCUGAUACUGGCAAGCUUGAGUCUCGUAGAGGGGGGUAGAAUUCCAGGUGUAGCGGUGAAAUGCGUAGAGAUCUGGAGGAAUACCGGUGGCGAAGGCGGCCCCCUGGACGAAGACUGACGCUCAGGUGCGAAAGCGUGGGGAGCAAACAGG